RNAcentral lists this ribosomal RNA (782 nucleotides) under uncultured fungus. RNAcentral describes it as "eukaryotic LSU rRNA". It matches the Rfam family "Eukaryotic large subunit ribosomal RNA", at positions 24 to 664 of the family's 3401-position model. Lineage: Eukaryota; Fungi. The record is from RNAcentral.
CCCGCUGAACUUAAGCAUAUCAGUAAGCGGAGGAAAAGAAACUAACAAGGAUUCCCUUAGUAGCGGCGAGUGAAGUGGGAAGAGCUCAAAUUUAAAAUCUGGGAUUUAUCCCCGAAUUGUAAUUUAAAGAGGCUUGUUCGGGACAGACCCGGGGGACAAGUCCCUUGGAAUAGGGCAUCAAAGAGGGUGAGAAUCCCGUUUGGCCAUCGGUGUCUGUUCCACCAUGUCAUGUCCUCAAAGAGUCGGGUUGUUUGGGAAUGCAGCCCAAAGUGGGUGGUAAAUUUCAUCAAAGGCUAAAUAUGGGCGAGAGACCGAUAGCGAACAAGUACCGUGAGGGAAAGAUGAAAAGAACUUUGAAAAGAGAGUUAAGUAGUGCGUGAAAUUGUUAAAAGGGAAACGAUAGAGACUAGGUGAUGUUGGGGGUGUGAGGGUGGAUAUGCUUGCUAGACUGGUCAAGUUAGUUGGAUUAAUAUCUAGCUAGCUUGGUUCAGGCAACAGCGAGUCAACCGUUCCCUCCCCCCCAACAGUCAGCAUCAGUUGGACUUUGUGUAUACGAGUUAGAGGAAGGUGACGCUCACCUUGGUGGGUCGUUUUAUAGACUCUAGACUUUCCACACCAAGUCUGACUGAGGAUCGCGGAUGGGGCAACAAGCUAGUCUACUCUGGCUCUUGUGUUCAGAUGCGCUAUUUAAUAGUUCUCUGACACUGGGGCUUGCUUGGACUGGUGGGCUCUGUCUUAGGAUGCUGACGGAAUGGUCUUUAACGACCCGUCUUGAAACACGG